GAUGAACGCUGGCGGCGUGCCUAAUACAUGCAAGUCGAGCGAACAGACGAGGAGCUUGCUCCUCUGACGUUAGCGGCGGACGGGUGAGUAACACGUGGAUAACCUACCUAUAAGACUGGGAUAACUUCGGGAAACCGGAGCUAAUACCGGAUAAUAUAUUGAACCGCAUGGUUCAAUAGUGAAAGACGGUUUUGCUGUCACUUAUAGAUGGAUCCGCGCCGCAUUAGCUAGUUGGUAAGGUAACGGCUUACCAAGGCAACGAUGCGUAGCCGACCUGAGAGGGGGAUCGGCCACACUGGAACUGAGACACGGUCCUGACUCCUACGGGAGGCAGCAGUAGGGAAUCUGCCGCAAUGGGCGAAAGCCUGACGGAGCAACGCCGCGUGAGUGAUGAAGGUCUUCGGAUCGUAAAACUCUGUUAUUAGGGAAGAACAAAUGUGUAAGUAACUAUGCACGUCUUGACGGUACCUAAUCAGAAAGCCACGGCUAACUACGUG
Molecule: ribosomal RNA, 497 nt
Filed under: uncultured bacterium
Lineage: Bacteria
Description: partial 16S ribosomal RNA
Rfam family: Bacterial small subunit ribosomal RNA
Source: RNAcentral